RNAcentral lists this ribosomal RNA (800 nucleotides) under Staphylococcus succinus. RNAcentral's name for it is "bacterial SSU rRNA". It matches the Rfam family "Bacterial small subunit ribosomal RNA", at positions 34 to 815 of the family's 1533-position model. The record is from RNAcentral. Lineage: Bacteria; Bacillati; Bacillota; Bacilli; Caryophanales; Staphylococcaceae.
CCCUUGGGGGGAUGCUUAUUAUAUGCAGGUCGAGCGAACGGAUAAGGAGCUUGCUCCUUUGAAGUUAGCGGCGGACGGGUGAGUAACACGUGGGUAACCUACCUAUAAGACUGGAAUAACUUCGGGAAACCGGAGCUAAUGCCGGAUAACAUAUAGAACCGCAUGGUUCUAUAGUGAAAGAUGGUUUUGCUAUCACUUAUAGAUGGACCCGCGCCGUAUUAGCUAGUUGGUAAGGUAAUGGCUUACCAAGGCGACGAUACGUAGCCGACCUGAGAGGGUGAUCGGCCACACUGGAACUGAGACACGGUCCAGACUCCUACGGGAGGCAGCAGUAGGGAAUCUUCCGCAAUGGGCGAAAGCCUGACGGAGCAACGCCGCGUGAGUGAUGAAGGUUUUCGGAUCGUAAAACUCUGUUAUUAGGGAAGAACAAAUGCGUAAGUAACUGUGCGCAUCUUGACGGUACCUAAUCAGAAAGCCACGGCUAACUACGUGCCAGCAGCCGCGGUAAUACGUAGGUGGCAAGCGUUAUCCGGAAUUAUUGGGCGUAAAGCGCGCGUAGGCGGUUUCUUAAGUCUGAUGUGAAAGCCCACGGCUCAACCGUGGAGGGUCAUUGGAAACUGGGAAACUUGAGUGCAGAAGAGGAAAGUGGAAUUCCAUGUGUAGCGGUGAAAUGCGCAGAGAUAUGGAGGAACACCAGUGGCGAAGGCGACUUUCUGGUCUGUAACUGACGCUGAUGUGCGAAAGCGUGGGGAUCAAACAGGAUUAGAUACCCUGGUAGUCCACGCCGUAAACGAUGAGUG